ACUCCUACGGGAGGCAGCAGUGGGGAAUCUUGCACAAUGCGCGAAAGCGUGAUGCAGCAACGCCGCGUGCGGGAAGACGGCCUUCGGGUUGUAAACCGCUUUCAGUUGGGACGAAGCCGGUGCGGUUAAUAGCCGUUGCGGGUGACGGUACCUUCAGAAGAAGCCCCGGCUAACUACGUGCCAGCAGCCGCGGUAAUACGUAGGGGGCAAGCGUUGUCCGGAAUCAUUGGGCGUAAAGCGCGUGUAGGCGGCUCAGUAAGUCCGCUCUGAAAGCCCGGGGCUCAACCCCGGGAGGCGGGUGGAUACUGCUGAGCUCGAGUCCGGAAGAGGAGUGUGGAAUUCCUGGUGUAGCGGUGAAAUGCGCAGAUAUCAGGAGGAACACCAACGGCGAAGGCAGCACUCUGGGACGGUACUGACGCUGAGACGCGAAAGCGUGGGGAGCAAACAGGAUUAGAUACCCUGGUAGUCCACGCCGUAAACGAUGGGCACUAGGUGUGGGGGGUGUCGACUCCCUCCGUGCCGAAGCUAACGCAUUAAGUGCCCCGCCUGGGGGAGUACGGCCGCAAGGCUAAAACUCAAAGGAAUUGACGGGGGCCCGCACAAGCAGCGGAGCAUGUGGUUUAAUUCGACGCAACGCGAAGAACCUUACCCGGGCUUGACAUGUGCCUGACAGCCCUGGAAACAGGGUCUCCCUUCGGGGCAGGUUCACAGGUGGUGCAUGGCUGCCGUCAGCUCGUGUCGUGAGAUGUUGGGUUAAGUCCCGCAACGAGCGCAACCCCCGUCGCAUGUUGCCAGCAUUUAGUUGGGGACUCAUGCGAGACUGCCGGUGACAAACCGGAGGAAGGUGGGGAUGACGUCAAGUCAUCAUGCCCCUUAUGUCCGGGGCUACACACGUGCUACAUUGGCGCGUACAGAGGGCUGCGAUACCGCGAGGUGGAGCGAAUCCCUCAAAGCGCGUCUCGGUUCGGAUAGCAGGCUGAAACCCGCCUGCUUGAAGGUGGAGUUGCUAGUAAUCGCGGAUCAGCAUUGCCGCGGUGAAUACGUUCCCGGGCCUUGUACACACCGCCCGU
Molecule: ribosomal RNA, 1070 nt
Filed under: uncultured bacterium
Lineage: Bacteria
Description: bacterial SSU rRNA
Rfam family: Bacterial small subunit ribosomal RNA
Source: RNAcentral